CACGUAGGGUCCGAGCGUUGUCCGGAAUUACUGGGCGUAAAGCGCGCGCAGGCGGUCGGGUUCGUCGCUGGUGAAAGCCCCACGCUCAACGUGGGAAGGUCCGGCGAGACAGCCCGACUGGAGGCAGGGAGAGGUCGGUGGAAUUCCGGGAGUAGUGGUGAAAUGCGUAGAGAUCCGGAGGAACACCAGAGGCGAAGGCGGCCGACUGGACCUGACCUGACGCUGAGGCGCGAAGGCGUGGGGAGCGAACGGG
This 253-nucleotide ribosomal RNA is filed under the name uncultured bacterium. Its description in RNAcentral is "partial 16S ribosomal RNA". It matches the Rfam family "Bacterial small subunit ribosomal RNA", at positions 524 to 776 of the family's 1533-position model. The record is from RNAcentral.